RNAcentral lists this ribosomal RNA (480 nucleotides) under uncultured bacterium. Its description in RNAcentral is "bacterial SSU rRNA". It matches the Rfam family "Bacterial small subunit ribosomal RNA", at positions 29 to 518 of the family's 1533-position model. The record is from RNAcentral.
AGUGAACGCUGGCGGCGUGCUUAACACAUGCAAGUCGAGCGAGAACGGGCUAUAGCUUGCUAUAGUUGUCAGCUAAGUGGCGCACGGGUGAGUAAUGUAUAGGUAAUAUGCCUCUUACUAAGGGAUAACAAUUGGAAACGAUUGCUAAUACCUUAUACUCCUUAUUAACCUAAGUUAAUAAGGGAAAGAUUUAUUGGUAAGAGAUUAGCCUGUAUUGUAUCAGUUAGUUGGUGGGGUAAUGGCCUACCAAGACUAUGACACAUAACUGGUUUGAGAGGAUGAUCAGUCACACUGGAACUGAGACACGGUCCAGACUCCUACGGGAGGCAGCAGUGGGGAAUAUUGCACAAUGGACGAAAGUCUGAUGCAGCAACGCCGCGUGGAGGAUGACACAUUUCGGUGCGUAAACUCCUUUUAUAUGAGAAGAUAAUGACGGUAUUAUAUGAAUAAGCACCGGCUAACUCCGUGCCAGCAGCCGAC